Molecule: ribosomal RNA, 490 nt
Filed under: uncultured bacterium
Lineage: Bacteria
Description: partial 16S ribosomal RNA
Rfam family: Bacterial small subunit ribosomal RNA
Source: RNAcentral
AUUGAACGCUGGCGGCAGGCCUAACACAUGCAAGUCGAACGGUAACAGGAAACAGCUUGCUGUUUCGCUGACGAGUGGCGGACGGGUGAGUAAUGUCUGGGAAACUGCCUGAUGGAGGGGGAUAACUACUGGAAACGGUAGCUAAUACCGCAUAACGUCGCAAGACCAAAGAGGGGGACCUUCGGGCCUCUUGCCAUCGGAUGUGCCCAGAUAGGAUUAGCUAGUAGGUGGGGUAACGGCUCACCUAGGCGACGAUCCCUAGCUGGUCUGAGAGGAUGACCAGCCACACUGGAACUGAGACACGGUCCAGACUCCUACGGGAGGCAGCAGUGGGGAAUAUUGCACAAUGGGCGCAAGCCUGAUGCAGCCAUGCCGCGUGUAUGAAGAAGGCCUUCGGGUUGUAAAGUACUUUCAGCGGGGAGGAAGGGAGUAAAGUUAAUACCUUUACUCAUUGACGUUACCCGCAGAAGAAGCACCGGCUAACUCCGUG